RNAcentral lists this ribosomal RNA (769 nucleotides) under uncultured Actinomycetes bacterium. Its description in RNAcentral is "bacterial SSU rRNA". It matches the Rfam family "Bacterial small subunit ribosomal RNA", at positions 8 to 795 of the family's 1533-position model. The record is from RNAcentral. Lineage: Bacteria; Bacillati; Actinomycetota; Actinomycetes.
AGAGUUUGAUUCUGGCUCAGGAUGAACGCUGGCGGCGUGCUUAACACAUGCAAGUCGAACGAGGUCCAACCUUCGGGUGAAGACCGAGUGGCGAACGGGUGAGUAACACGUGGGGAACCUGCCCUUCUCUCUGGGAUAACCUCGGGAAACCGAAGCUAAUACCGGAUACUCCUUGCGGACCGCAUGGUCUGCUCGGGAAAGCUCCGGCGGAGAAGGAUGGCCCCGCGGCCCAUUAGCUUGUUGGUUGGGUAACGGCCCACCAAGGCGACGAUGGGUAGCCGAGCUGAGAGGCUGAUCGGCCACACUGGGACUGAGACACGGCCCAGACUCCUACGGGAGGCAGCAGUGGGGAAUCUUGCGCAAUGGGCGAAAGCCUGACGCAGCAACGCCGCGUGCGGGAUGAAGGCUCUCGGGUCGUAAACCGCUUUCAGCAGGGAUGAAAAUGACAGUACCUGCAGAAGAAGCCCCGGCUAAAUACGUGCCAGCAGCCGCGGUAAUACGUAUGGGGCAAGCGUUAUCCGGAUUCAUUGGGCGUAAAACGCGCGUAGGCGGCUUGUUAAGUCAGGCGUGAAAUCCGGGGGCUCAACCCGCGGCUUGCGUCUGAAACUGGCAGGCUUGAGUCUGGUAGAGGAAAGUGGAAUUCCUGGUGUAGCGGUGAAAUGCGCAGAUAUCAGGAGGAACACCAGUGGCGAAGGCGGCUUUCUGGGCCACGACUGACGCUGAGGCGCGAAAGCUAGGGGAGCGAACAGGAUUAGAUACCCUGGUAGUC